Molecule: ribosomal RNA, 492 nt
Filed under: uncultured bacterium
Lineage: Bacteria
Description: partial 16S ribosomal RNA
Rfam family: Bacterial small subunit ribosomal RNA
Source: RNAcentral
AGUGAACGCUGGCGGUAGGCCUAACACAUGCAAGUCGAACGGCAGCACAGUAAGAGCUUGCUCUUACGGGUGGCGAGUGGCGGACGGGUGAGGAAUACAUCGGAAUCUACUUUUUCGUGGGGGAUAGCGUAGGGAAACUUACGCUAGUACCGCAUACGACCUACGGGUGAAAGCAGGGGAUCUUCGGACCUUGCGCGAUUGAAUGAGCCGAUGUCGGAUUAGCUAGUUGGCGGGGUAAAGGCCCACCAAGGCGACGAUCCGUAGCUGGUCUGAGAGGAUGAUCAGCCACACUGGAACUGAGACACGGUCCAGACUCCUACGGGAGGCAGCAGUGGGGAAUAUUGGACAAUGGGCGCAAGCCUGAUCCAGCCAUACCGCGUGGGUGAAGAAGGCCUUCGGGUUGUAAAGCCCUUUUGUUGGGAAAGAAAAGCAGCAGGUUAAUACCCCGCUGUUCUGACGGUACCCAAAGAAUAAGCACCGGCUAACUUCGUG